This is an RNA transcript of Setaria italica (foxtail millet), 1390 nucleotides long. It is a transcript of the gene named protein unc-45 homolog A, with no coding region annotated. Lineage: Eukaryota; Viridiplantae; Streptophyta; Magnoliopsida; Poales; Poaceae. The transcript has 4 exons. The record is from RefSeq and is a predicted model, not a curated record.
CCACCCACAUUCAAAUCUCCCCCUCCGCUCGCCAUCAUCUCCCCCAUUCUCCUCUCUCUCUCUCUGACUCUCUCCUCGUGAUUAUCCAUCCCCCAAAAUCCCAGCUCGCGAAUCCCCCCCUCCCCCCGAAAAAACCAGCCUCCGAUUCGUGAGGCCCCCGAAUCGCCGCCGGAUUCUCCGCGAUGGCGGGCGCGGGCGCGGGCGCGGGCUCGGCGGCGGUGGAGAGGGCGCACGAGCUCUACCGGGGUGGCCGCCACCGGGAGGCGCUGGAGCUCUACUCCGCGGCGCUGGCGGCGGCGCGGGGCCCCGCGCAGCGCAUCGCGCUCCACAGCAACCGCGCCGCCUGCUACCUCAAGCUCCACGACUUCCGCAAGGCCGCAGAAGAGUGUACAUCUGUCCUCGAGUUGGAUAGGGAGCAUGCCGGAGCUCUGAUGUUACGUGCCCAGACUCUCGUUACUCUGAAAGAUUAUCAGUCAGCUCUAUUCGAUGUCAACAGGCUCAUUGAGAUAAAUCCAUCAUCUGAAGUAUAUCGGAACCUCCAGGCACGAUUGAAGACACAGCUAUCACUUGCCCCAAUUCCUGAGUGUGAAGAGGAGUCCCUGUAUCUCGAAGAAGAAAAGGAUGAACUUCCUCCAAAAGGAGAUCAGAAGAUUGAGACUUCUAUCACUAAGUCUGACCAACCUGAAACUAAACUGGUUCUUGAAAACAAACCUUCAAAUGGACAUAUUCUCGAAAGAAAACCUGGAACUGAACCUCAGAAGGUUGAUGUUCCUCCUACUCUGCCUUCAAAACCCCAGGGCUGGGAGGCCAUUCCAAAACCAAAAGGCCAUUCAGGACUUGAUUACUCAAAAUGGGACAGUGUUGAAGAUGAUUCGAGUGAAGAUGAGGAUGAUGACGAAGAAGACGAGUUGCCGCAAUAUAAGUUUAAAGUCAGAACUGUUGGCGUGCGGUCUGUAAAGUAAACAAGAUUAGCAAUAAAACCCAAAUUAUGGUAUGUUUAUAGUCUGACAGGACCUCUACUGACCAGGGUGCCACCUAUUCAUCUUCAAUAAUUUUUGGAUGAACUAUGUAGGUUUCAUGAUUUGUCAGAUGCUGUCUGUCAAUAAUUCUCGAGUCCAAGCAGAGAAGAUAGUUUGCUUUUUGAAGCGAUGGAGAUGGACAGGAUGGCAAAGUCAACGAUGUACAAAGAUCCAAGCUAACACUCCAGUAGUCCACUGCAGUUUAGGAUCAUAGUCUCGUCUCGGCGAACCUGUGUAUCUAGCGUCCUUCGGAAUAUAUGAACCCGUUUUUGUGCCGAGUUAUACGAGCCAUGCGAAAUGUUUCUUCGUUCUUCAUAUCACAUGUUUCUCAUCAAUAACCAAAAGCAUGGAGUCAUGCGAAAUUUUUUUAA